This 115-nucleotide ribosomal RNA is filed under the name Periophthalmus magnuspinnatus. The record is from RNAcentral. Lineage: Eukaryota; Metazoa; Chordata; Actinopteri; Gobiiformes; Gobiidae.
AGCUACUCCAGUACUCUUGAGAAUGCCUAAUUUUAUCUGAUCUCUGAAGCUAAGCAGGGUUGGGCUUGGUUAGUACUUUGAUGGGAGACCGUGACAGGGUUAGGGUUAGUGACUG